Molecule: ribosomal RNA, 459 nt
Filed under: uncultured bacterium
Lineage: Bacteria
Description: partial 16S ribosomal RNA
Rfam family: Bacterial small subunit ribosomal RNA
Source: RNAcentral
CCUACGGGGGGCAGCAGUGAGGAAUAUUGGUCAAUGGGCGCGAGCCUGAACCAGCCAAGUCGCGUGAGGGAAGACGGUCCUAUGGAUUGUAAACCUCUUUUGUCGGGGAGCAAAAGACGCCACGCGUGGCGUUCCGAGAGUACCCGAAGAAAAAGCAUCGGCUAACUCCGUGCCAGCAGCCGCGGUAAUACGGAGGAUGCGAGCGUUAUCCGGAUUUAUUGGGUUUAAAGGGUGCGUAGGCGGGCUGUUAAGUCAGCGGUCAAAUGUCGGGGCUCAACCCCGGCCUGCCGUUGAAACUGGCGGCCUCGAGUGGGCGAGAAGUAUGCGGAAUGCGUGGUGUAGCGGUGAAAUGCAUAGAGAUCAUACAGAACACCGAUUGCGAAGGCAGCUUACCAAACUACGACUGACGUUGAGGCACGAAAGCGUGGGGAGCAAACAGGAUUAGAUACCCUUGUAGUC